Otolemur garnettii (small-eared galago) is the source of this 262-nucleotide unclassified non-coding RNA. It matches the Rfam family "Nuclear RNase P". From Rfam's summary of the family: Ribonuclease P (RNase P) is a ubiquitous endoribonuclease, found in archaea, bacteria and eukarya as well as chloroplasts and mitochondria. Its best characterised activity is the generation of mature 5'-ends of tRNAs by cleaving the 5'-leader elements of precursor-tRNAs. Lineage: Eukaryota; Metazoa; Chordata; Mammalia; Primates; Galagidae. The record is from Ensembl.
AAAAUAAUAAUUCCAUCGGUGAGGCUCUGAGCUGAGUGCACCGUGCCACUUCCCUCCCUUGUCCCUUAGAAAGGUCUGAGACUAGGGCCAGUAAGUGGCCCUAACAGGGCUCUCCCUGGGUUUUGGGGAGGUGAAUUCCCAAAGAGCGGGGUUAGACUGGGCAGGAGAUGCUGUGGACCCACCCCACUCCCUUAGAGUUCUUAAUACUGAUUUAAGAAAAAGAUUUUGGAAUUACUAAUUGUAUAAAUAAUUUAACCAUUUU